GGUGGCGUGUCCGAGCGGCCGAAGGUGUUCGCCUCGAAAGCGAAUGUGGGUAAAACCACCGCGGGUUCGAAUCCCGCCGCCACCG
Molecule: transfer RNA, 85 nt
Filed under: Corynebacterium tapiri
Lineage: Bacteria; Bacillati; Actinomycetota; Actinomycetes; Mycobacteriales; Corynebacteriaceae
Rfam family: tRNA
About the family: Transfer RNA (tRNA) molecules are approximately 80 nucleotides in length. Their secondary structure includes four short double-helical elements and three loops (D, anti-codon, and T loops).
Source: Rfam by way of RNAcentral